AUUCUUUAUUGUGUCAGGAACAAGAGAACUCUCAGAACCAUAUAUCCUAGUUCUUCCACGAAGUUGCUCAUUACAGCCCAUGGAAGAGAAAAGGUGUCCCCUGCUCAACAUUUAUCCAGGAAUAAACUCCUUCAAUCAGAACUAGAGCGUUCAUAUAACGUAAGGAUUUCUCAAAGAAUAUCCUGCAGAACUCAGCCCCUUGAAAGAAUUUUUUCCCAAGAUCUUCCUGUUCCUCACUUUAUUUACAAUAUGGCGUGGGCACUGUACCGGAGACACCAAGAGGAUAGAGAAACGAAACCACCCCUAUGGCAAGAGCACUGGGGAAAGCACCAUGUACACAUAGGAGUAGCUAUAAAAAA
Non-coding RNA from Phascolarctos cinereus (koala), 359 nucleotides. The record is from RefSeq and is a predicted model, not a curated record. NCBI's taxonomy places the organism in Eukaryota, Metazoa, Chordata, Mammalia, Diprotodontia, Phascolarctidae.